UCAAACUUGGUCAUUUAGAGGAAGUAAAAGUCGUAACAAGGUUUCCGUAGGUACGUAAAGGAAACUCUCUGCCAUCUCACGAUUCACGCUAACCGCUGCCAGGUGAACCUGCGGAAGGAUCAUUACCGAGUACUCCCGCCCAGCGGGAACUCCCACCCUUUGCUUACUGACCUGUUGCUUCGGCGAGACGCUGGUACGCCAGCCACCGGCAUGUCUACAUGCGGGUGAGCGCUCGCCGGAGGUUUUCAACUCCGAAUUUUUGCUGUCUGAGCAAGCGAGAAUUAUCAAAACUUUCAACAACGGAUCUCUUGGUUUUGGCAUCGAUGAAGAACGCAGC
This 337-nucleotide unclassified non-coding RNA is filed under the name uncultured fungus. RNAcentral describes it as "partial contains small subunit ribosomal RNA, internal transcribed spacer 1, and 5.8S ribosomal RNA". The stretch from base 1 to 125 matches the Rfam family "Eukaryotic small subunit ribosomal RNA", at positions 1759 to 1831 of the family's 1831-position model. The record is from RNAcentral. Lineage: Eukaryota; Fungi.